AGAGAUAAUUCCAUAGGACGGCUGCGCACCUCAACCCAUCUCAGCUCAGUUUCCCCCAUAAAACCAGAGUCUCCAUUAUCUUCAUGUUCUAUCUUAUUGGACCUACUUUGAUGUCUUAGGUCCAGAGGCAGAGGUCCCUGGGGGUGACAUGGGGUAGAGGCAGGAUUCAGGCUCCAUCUUAUCCUCAGUCCUGGCAAGGGAGGUCUCACUGAAGGUGGUGUCAAUUAUGAAUAAUGAACUGUCAUUUCAGAAAGGCCUUUUCCAUUCCUAGUAUUUGCACAAUUCCUCCUUUGCACGCGGUUACCCUGCAGAGGUGCCUGGUGGAUUCGCUGGAAAGACGGCAGGACCCCAGGCAUUGCCACAACUAAGGUAGGAAUUUUAGCCCUGUAUUGUCAUCACCCUUGGUCAAAGAAUCUCCAAGCUGGGUAAGAUCCUGCCAGACAAAUCAUUUGAUUUUCCAGUAGCGUGGGGCUCUGUGCCGCCUGGAUGCAGAAUGUCGACCUUAAGGUGAUCGCUCAGAGCAUUUCUAUCACCAAAGCCGUCACCUCACGCAUUUCAGGCAGGCCUGCAGCAAAGAAGAGUCCACCAGGACCAGCCGGGUGGACUGUGGCGGUGCCCUUGGUCCCGAGUAGGUGGCAGCCGCACAGAGGCUCCGGUUAACCCUACACCACCUACAGGCAAGGCUUUACCACUGGGGCUGUGGGCACUGGCACAUGACAAGUCUUUGUGGUGUAGGACUGCCCAUGAAUGCCAGAGGGGCACCCUGUCAUGUGACAGCCAAAAGUGCCCCCGAGGAAAGCAGAACUGUCCCCGGUUAGGUGUCCUCUGCUGGCACUGGGCGAGGCACGAGGGGCAGACCGGCGCCUGUGUGCAGUGCAUGCCCUUGGGUGUUCAGAGCCCACACAGAAGACAGGUAGCCCCAGUCUGAGGAGACCAGUGUGCCCUGAGGUUCAAGCAAGGGGCGUCAUCCCCAGAGUGUACAAGAAGGGUGCUCAGGGCCGGGAGCCCUGGGCAGAGGCUGUGGGAUGAGCAGGCAUCACCCCGGGGAAUGUCUUUGCAGUGUAGAUGCUUUGGGCCCCAUGGCCUGCACUCAACACAACAGGGUUUGCGUUCAGGCCUCACUUAGACUGGUCACCUAGAGCUCCAUGGCCUCUGACCAUAGGCCUCCGAGCACAAUCCUCCCCUCAAAGGCCCUCUGGGCUCCAGUAGUCCUGCCUCACUCUGCCUCUGAAGCUCUAGGAGCAAUUUUGCCUAUUUGAGCUCAGUGAUUGCAACCAACCGGAGCUGGGGCAGUGGCUGAGGGAUCCCGGCCCUGUGGGCAUCUGGGCUUCAAGGCAUCUCUCCUCUACCAAGGUUGGACAGCACUUACUUGAUUCAAGGGCCACUUCCUCUGGCUCAGGACCCCUUGGUGUGUCUCAGGGGCACGUGGGCCUUCCUGGGGGUCUGCUCCAGCCACGCAGAGCUCUUGAGGUGGCUGUGCUAACCCCACGGGCCUUUGGAAUGCUUUCUCAAGAUGAAUGAAUGGAUGAAUAGUAGAUAAUGAUAAAUUUUAACAAAUAAUAAUAACCCUUCCUCCACACAUUAACCAGCCUCAGCCACCUGACAGCCAAGGAGACAGAGGGAUUUGCAGUCUAAUUUUGAGUCAUUUAGCAAAGUCCUUGGUGAGGGCAAGUCCACA
Callithrix jacchus (white-tufted-ear marmoset) is the source of this 1678-nucleotide long non-coding RNA. The record is from Ensembl. NCBI's taxonomy places the organism in Eukaryota, Metazoa, Chordata, Mammalia, Primates, Cebidae.